This 26267-nucleotide long non-coding RNA is filed under the name Medicago truncatula (barrel medic). RNAcentral's name for it is "long non-coding RNA (MTRU_LNC003514)". The record is from RNAcentral. Lineage: Eukaryota; Viridiplantae; Streptophyta; Magnoliopsida; Fabales; Fabaceae.
UUAUUUGCUGCCUGCUUUUCAUUAGUAUUAGGAGAACGCUGUUGUUAUAUUUAAUCACUUCAAGAUUGUAAUCAUGCACCAUGACCAUGUCAUACAGAUUGAAUUUUUUUAUCUUGUUGAAAAGUAUAACUGAUUUACAGAUUGACCCUCAUCUCAUUUUCUAAGAAUAGAAAUAUAGAUUUAUAAAUGUAAAUUGUCACAUCGCAGCCGAAAGUUGGUAACUCAAAAUAGCUACAGUUCAACAUCAAAGUAUGACAUUCGUGAAACAUUAUAAUUGGUGGUAGUUGAACGCAUAAUUUUAGUUCAUUUUACGUACUCUAAGCUAGCCGUUGCAACACCUGAGAUGUUGCUGUUCAAUUGUUGUUAGUUACUGAGCUUGAUCAUUGGUUGUUCAUAUUGACCAAAAAUAGAAACAUUGAUAAAAAAAUAUAAGAGCAAACUCUCAAUUUUGCACCCAACAAAAUCGAGACGUUAUAAAUAUAAAUGUUCAAAUGACAGGCAGAACUUGGUAGCUCAAAAUGGACAUCAGGCUUAUGUUAAAUAUUACAUUAUAAUAGGUAGUAGAAUGCAUAAUAUUAUCUUUUACAUUUUACACAUUUUUGGCCAGCUGUUGCGACUUCCCAGAUGUAUUCAAUUGACAUCUGCAACUGAGCUUGAUAACUGGUUAAUGUCUGUGUUUAGUUUUAAGUUUUAACACUUCGCUUUUUGUCAUUCAAAUGUUUCAUUAAAAUAUUCACUUUCUUGUAAACUAAUAUGCAGAUCACUCCAUCCGUGACAUUUAUAAUGGUUCUGCUUGCCUUAUCUCCUUGUCUUUUCAAGGCUUGGAAGAAUCCACAGCCACAAAAGAUUACUAGAUGGAUAUCAUAUGCGUAUACCUGUGGUUUUCUUUUUGGGUGGCAUGUGCAUGAGAAGGCAUCACUCCAUUUUGUAAUUCCACUCGCCUUUGUUGCAGCACAAACCCCGGAGGAUGCAAAGCAUUACUUUUUGUUGUCAAUAGGUAUGCUGUUAAUGCUCGUUAAUUUGUUUGCUAACUUAUGAGGUUUUCUUUUUCUUCAGUUUUUUUUCUUUAAUAUGAAAGUAACAUGAACAAAAGCAUGUCAUUUAUGCCCUAAGCUUUCUUAUUCCCAUUGGUAAUUUCAUUGAUAAUUUUAUCGAAAAUGAGGUCCAUAACCAAAUUAUUAAAAUAAAGUUUGGAGUCUUAACUUGGCAAUUUUUAUGGUUAGAUUCUUAUUUUUAUUUUUGGGUUGCUCUAUGACCAUCUUUCUACUAAAGUUUUAUCGGAUGAUUCCUAUUAUUUGGUUGCUAUGUGACCAUCUUUCCUUAUGAUCUUAUUAAAGUGAACUUCACACAGGGAUAUUGAUUGCUUGGUGAAGAGGGUCAAUUACUAUCUCUUUUUGUAAUGUCUGAGUUUGAGUUGGUUCUGAUCUUGCACUCCUGAUAAUAACUUAUAAUUUACUUGGAUAAAACUCUAUCGGAGUGAACUUGUCUGUAAAGUAGAUUGAUCAAGAAUAAUAAAAGAUUAAAGAAAACCAAGAAGCAAUACUUUUCAGUUGCCGAUUAAUAUUUGUUAUGAUGAGUGAGAAUGUUUAUGGAUGCAAAAAAGAAGCAGAAGUUUCUAAUCAUUUUUUUUGGAUAUGUUGUGUGUGCAGUAUCCUGCUAUUCUCUUUUUCCGCUACUCUUUGAGGCACAGGAGUAUCCUAUCAAAAUUCUGUUGUUGCUUCUUCACUCCAUUUUGAUGUGGUCUGGCUUUUCAGCACAGUUUUACGACAGUGCCGAAACAGGAGUGUCGACUGCUCACACAAAGAAAAAAGCUGGCCAAUUUGAAUCUAAAGGUAGUUUAAGUGCAGAUGUGAGGAAUAAUGGUUUUGUUAUUGGCUUGAUAGAGAAGAUAUAUCUGGUUGGUCUUGUAGUUGUAGAGAUAUGGGGCCAAGUUUUACACCCUCUGCUUUUGGGUGAUAAGCUUGCAUUUCUUCCCCUUAUGUUGAUCUCUGUAUACUGUGCUUUGGGGAUCAUGUACUCUUGGAUAUGGCAGUUAAGAUCCAUAGUUAAAUCUCAUUAACUUUUUGUCUGUCUGUGGUCAUAUUAAAUUUUCUAUUUAUGGACUUUUUAUAAGUAGAAUUUCAAGUAAUUUUCUGUGAUCAUAUGCUGCCUCUGCCUCAAGUUCUAUGGAAUUAUACUACAGCUAGACAUAUAAUUAGGUUAUGCCUAUAUUCCUACUAUAAUGUUGGCAUUACUGGCAAAACGGGAUAAAGCUUUGCAUAUCAGCUGAAUAAGUUUGAAUCCUUCUGCUGGGUCAACAAUUCUGUCUGGAAUGUGUAUGCAAACACACAAUGAGUAGUUUCUGUAGAGAGAUUUUCUUGAAAGUGUACCUUUUGUGUGAAUUUGAUCUGUUGGCGGAUAAUCUUAAAAUAAAUCAAUCAAAUUAUUGUAUUUCCAUUUUUCAUUUUUAACAGAAACAAGGUUAACAGAGGUGACAAUGGUCAAUGAAUCUAUUGCAUUGCAUUAUAAUCGUGCAAAGUUAUCAUUUAACAACCAUAGUUAAAAAUCCUGACCUAAAUUAUAAAUUAUAAUGAGAUACGUUAGCACUACCUCACAUUAUAGCCUAUGUAGAAUUGAGUGACACCACAAAAAUGUACAGAUAAGGAAAAAUGAUCACUUGAUAAUUCUUGAAAGGAUAUAACUGGAAAUUGUAUUCUCAACAAGAAUGAACGGUCAAUAUUAUCUCUGCUCUAUGAAGAAAAGAAAUACACAGCAUCUUCGCUGAAAAACAUUCUAUGGCCGUCGCCACCUAUUUGUUAAAGGUGAAUGAGAUUUUGGAAUGAAGGACUCAAAUUUCUCAAAAGACCAUUUUAUGUCUCAAAAGAAAUUACGCUUGUUUGUUUUUUAUGUUUUAUGUUUUUGUUUUUUGUUUUAAUAACAAUAGCAAUGAAGGUGUGUCUCUUAGUAUUAUAGUCAGGAGGAUAGGAUUGGGGUGUACCCAAAAAAAUUAUUUUAUUUUAUUUUUUGGUCGAAAAAAAUAUAUAUAUUUUUUUUUAGGGAAAAUAUAUUUUGUUUUAAUAAGUAGGUAAAAGCAAGGUUGUCAAAACUGAACCGGACCGGCCAGUUCAACCGAUUGGACCAGGAACCGGACCUAUGUCCGGUCCGAGUCACGGCUAAAACCGCCCUGGCAAAAAACCGGUAAACCGGACAAAAACUGGGAAAACCACUAAAAACCAAAGGUCCAACGGUUUUGGCCGGCUCAGACUAUUUCUUUGCUUUUUUGCAACAAAAAACAAAACUUUAAACUAUUUUGUUUUAAAUAGGAUAUUUUUUUAAAAUAUAUCCAAGCAAAACUACUGUUCCAAACGUCCAAUCUAGGUGGAACUUUUGCUCUAUACCUGAAGCCCUGAAUCUACUUUUAUAACCAAAGUUUAAGAAUCUAGUUUGAAAUUCUUCGAUGUGGGACUUAUUGUGUUGUUGUGUUUACAUCAUCCAACAUCAGUAGUUUUUCACUCUUCCUAAUGCAUUCACGUCACAAACAGACACACACUAUAAUUUUGGCUCUUGAUUAUCUUCAAUUAGACUAUGAUCAAGAAAUAAAAUAUUCAUUCCACUUCAUUUAGAAAAAAUACAUACUUCAUUCCACAGAUAUAUCAUUUCUUAAGUAAUAUAUUCAUCCUUUUUUUGGUAUCAACUAAUCUAUCCAUCUAACACUAAAUAAUGUAAGCAUGAUUCCUGCUAUAUAUAUAUAUAUAUAUAUAUAUAUAUGUUAUGUGGGAAAAUGUAUAAUAAAUUUUUUUGGAUUUAUGAAAUAAGAGUUUGGAUACAAAAAGUUUUUUAUAUAUUUAUCAACACUUUAUAUAUAAUAUUUUAAAUAAAAAUGUAUAUUUUACAAAACCGGUUGAACCCCGGUUCGACUCCGAUCGAACCUUCAAACCCUGAACCCAAACCUACAUCGGUUCGAUGUCCGGUCCGGUUUUAAUUACCUUGGGUAAAAGUUUUAUUUGAUCACCCUAGUAAUAUGUAUAUUUUGCUAUCUCAAAUAAGUAUUUUUUUUUGGGUAAAAUAUUAGUAGAAACAAUAAAAUCAAAACAUUAUCAAUUGAUUGUUAAAUUUAUUUUCAUUUUAUUUUGACACUUUCAAUCUCUUCAAUAAAUAUUUUAACUUUUAAGAUAAAUUAAUUAAUUUGUAAAAAAAAAAAAGAUAAAUUAAUUUGGCCCCCUCGUAAUAGUUUUUUAAAAAAAAGAUCCAUAGCUUUGAAGAGAGAUGUAACACGCACAUUUUUAAAAUUGAUGAUAUUGAUUAAUUAUUUAUACAUAAAACUAGGAGGGAGUAAUAAAAAUGGAGUUAUCAAUUAGUUUUAAGGAAUGAAGAUGAAGAUGGAAAGUACAAAGUAAGAGGGAAAAGAGUAGUACUACUACUACUACUAGUAGUAUACAAUACAAGGAAUGAUGAUGACACUAUUAUAAUAAGGGAUGAUAUUACGUAGAUGUCCAAUUGGGAGGUGACCAGUUCUGACGGUCAAUACCAAUAGUUGGUGGUCAACAACGAUGUUAGCAGUUGCUAGCUAUGGUACUUUCAAGUUUCAACCGUUGAUUAGAACCAGGCUUUGGCUUUGGCGUGGCUGAGUUUUGAUUACAAUGUCACAUUGUAUACUGGAAAUAAUACAGGGUUAGUGCAACCAACCAUUGAAUAAGAAAGAAUUAACUGCCGAAAAUGUUACCUUACUAUGGUUUUCUUUUUCUUCCAUUUUUGAGGAUUUUGAGCGUUAGAAAUUGUUUUUCUUUUUAAAGUCAAUGUGUCAUUAAUAUAGAAUCACUUAGAAUGUCACAUGUUCAUUGUAUUAUAUGAUCACAACCUAUGAUGAUUGAAGUUAAGGGAAGAACCAUUUUGAUUGACACAUUUUGAUUUUAGAGAUGCAUUUGCGAAUUAGUGAAAAUCAUUGACUAGUUUAGAGAAUACUCACAAUUUCAUGUAGAAAUUUGCCUCUCCACUUCAAUAAGAAUAUCCAUCAUUCAAACAUAUCACAAACUAUUAUAAUUGAAUCUUAAAAUCAAUUAAGUAUAUAUGCUACCUAUCUCUAAUUUUUAUUUUUAAAUUUAUUAAAUAAUUGAUGUAUUUAGUCUAUUUUAUUGUGAGUCAUGUUAUUUUAACAUGAUAUGAGGUCAUUGUGCAGUCUUUGGCUUAUAACAGAACAAAAAGCAAAACAGAUACUCCCCGAUUAGGCCAAACGGUUUUUCUUUGCAAUCCGCAUGGCAUGAUAUGCAUAUCUAUACGGUAACCAAACAUGUCAUGUCCUUCAUAUGUUCAUCACAUACAAUAAUGUACACACAAAUAAUUAAUUAUUCCAAUCAUUACUCAUUAAUUGUCACACACACACACUCAAGAUAUUUUUCUAACAAAUGGCAUGAAUUCGAUUCCAACUUAAAAAUACAACCCUGUUAAAUUUCUCCCUCUUAUAUGGACCAAUAUUAGCUGCAUGCCAAUUUCAUGGCUUUUCUCCGGCCAAACUAAACCUCUGACACCGGCGACCGGACAUUUUUUUUUCUCAUUUGUAUCCCAAAAACAAAUAGAAAAGACGUUAAAUUUUUUUGCGAUAUACAUAAUGUGUGUGUUUAUAUAUUAAUUCAUAGUAUCUGUUAUGCAAUUUCUUUAUGAAGAAAAACAAAUAUACUAUGCAAAUACAUAAGAUCGUCCAUUAGUACUACCAUAUGUUCUCAAUUUUAAUAUAUCAUAAAAAUCAAGGCUGAUUCAUGGGUUAAAAGCAUAUCUAAAUAAAAUCUUAUCUAAAAUUUUCUAAAAUUUAGUAAAAAUCUCAUAUUCUACAAUUUUCUAAACUAAAAUUAAUAAAAUCUUAUCUAAAGUUAAUAUUUUCCAAACAAAUAUUAAAUUGAUUGACUAUACUUUCAAUUAAAAAGUAAUAUUAAAAAAUUCCAUUAACUAAUUUAAUAAAUGAUUUUGUAUUUCAAAACGCCUAAAAAGUAAAACUUCAACAAAAUUUAGUAAAUUUAAUAAAAUAGUACAUUUAUAUUUUUCAAAAUGCCUCACAUUACAAUUUGUCUUAGAUCUUCAAAUGUGUUCUACCAACUCCGACUAAAAGCAAAAAUUUGAAAGUGGAGACAAAUAAUCCAACUCCAAAAGUUGUAAGGAUGAACAUUUUGGGGUUAAGUAUUAGAAGAAAUCUAAGACUAAACUAGAUACUCUUAAUUAAUUAUUUAUACAAUCAAAUAAGCAUUAAAAAUAAAUUGGGACUAAUAUAAUUCAACAAUUAUAACCAUGCAUAUAUGCUUUUGUCAAAAUACCCAGUUCUCUCUGUGAAAUCUUUGUAACAUGCAUUAUCGACACAAUCACAACUACAUAUAUAAAUAUAUAUCAUAUAUGCUAAUUGCCUGAAAUCCUAAAUAAUAAUGUAGCAUAGCUUAUCACAUGAAUAAAAUUAAAUUAAUCAAAGCCAAAGAGCUCCAGCUUCCUUAAGAAGAGGAAUGAGUGCACCAUUGAUGUGUUUGGCCAACAAGAUCUCCACACCACCAAGAAACUUUCCACAGACGAAGACGGCAGGGAGUGGCUGGCGGGUGUCACCAGAAAGCUGGCAGAGGGCAGCAAGAAUGGCGGAGCCGGAAGCAUGCCGAUCAAGCUCAAUGACAGUGGGGCCUACAGCAAGGCUGAAGAGGAGGUUCUUGGCGACGGUGGAAAAACAGCAGUCGGUGGAGCUGAACACAACGACGACAUUAGAGGAGGCAAGGUGGGUGACCAUCUCUCGAGGAGUCAUGUUCUUGAAUGGUGUUGUGGAUGAAAUUGAUGAAGACUCAAUAUCCAUAUUGUUACAAAUGAUUAGAUACAAAGAGAUGACUAGAGAGGGGGUAUAUAUAGGGCGUUCAUGCAAUAAAGUAAUAUUAUUUUGUGUGUAAAAAUAAUAUCAUGAAGGAUAAAUUUUUUAAAUUAUUGUAAUUAUUUUCUUAACAUAAUUGUUAGUAUUGAUGAAGGUUGACUCAGUUGAAAAGAAAUUGACACAUUUGCAAUGCCGUAGUUCAACUCUCAUUGUCCUUGUGAGGAUCUCAUUGGUAGAUGACUAUUAAAUAUAUUUGUAAGCGGUCUUUGAAUUUUGUGAUCUGAUCCUAGUGAACGCCGAAGCUCAACUCACCUAAACUUUAUUUAAUAAAAAAAAUGUCAUAGUAAAAUUUUUAAGUUGCUUUAUUUUAUUUUUUAUUAUUCAAAAUUACAAAGAGCAUGCAUACUGUUUUAGUAAAAUUGUAUCAAUAUUGCUUGCCAUUUGUAUUUCCAUUAUAUUUUAUAUUUUUUUUAAUAUAAUUAGUUAAUAAAUAUUCAAUCUUUCUAACCUAACAUAUCAUAAAGAUUUUUUUUUAAAAAAAAAAAACGGGUCUCAUCAAUAUUUAUAUAUCGUCAUGGUCAACAAUAAUUUAUUAAAUAAUAGUUAUCUAAAUUUUGAAAUAUUGGAUUAAUUAAGGUCUACAAAUUAUAAAAUUUAUUGGCUCUUUGCUAUAGAAAAUGUUUGGUGUACACCUCUAGAGGUGCAUACAUUUUGAGAGAGAUAGAGAUAAAUAAAGUGUUGUGAUAGAUAUGAUAAAUUAAUGAUCCGAUAGAAAGAGAGAGAUAGAAAGAAAAUGUGGUAUCUGUUGGAUAUUUUACUUUGAUUGUGGUCCUAGCCUCUUAAUUGAACAUUUGAAUUGUCUUCAUUCCAACCUUCAACACUUUCAUUGUGUUGAAUUUGAAAGGAUGUAUUCAGUCCCACAUUGAAUAGAGAUAUAGUAUGUCUAGUAUUUAUAAAGCAUGGACAUUUCUCACUUUAUAAGUCGGUUUUGCAAGAAUGAGUUAAUGUCAAUAUAAAAAUUUAAUAGCGUCGAAUGAUUGUUUGAAAAUAAAAGGUGAAAAAAUAUAUUGUUGUUUGCUUUGUAUUAAGUAAAAUAUGAUAGCUUUAAAGACUAUAUGCUAAAUGGUGUAAAAACACAGCCAACGAAAAUCCAAACUCCAAAUGUUUGAUCUAUUUGUAAAACAUAGAUAUUGAAUUUGAAAGUAACCUUAAUUCGACGACAACGGUAGAUAGAACUUGUUAUACCUGGGACAAUGGUUUAUAGCUAAAAACGGUUAGGUAAUGUUUUGAAACUUACUAAAUUACCCUUCUAUUUAUAAUUGAUUUGGACAAUGAAAAAUGUGGUUUUUGGUAGAUAACAAGUGGGUGUAGCUUGCUAACUUGCACCUUAGUGUUUUUAGAUGGGUGCAAAUUAGUAGUCCCCUUCAUUAAAUACUACCGUCUUAGUUUGAAGCGUUAUUCCCAUACACUUAAUUUUUUAUUAUAAGAAAAUCAACAUCAAUUUUUUUUUUCUUUAUGAAAUGAGAAACUCAACAUCAGUUAAAAACAAUGUUCAACAUCAAUAAAUAAAAAUUAAUUAGGAGUAUUUUUUUUAUUUUUCCUAAUAUUAAAAUGAAAUUGUACGUAAUUAAAGUGUGAUAUGUAUUUAACAAAAGUGGUGCAUGUGGGGACUAUAAAUGAUAGGAGGGGCGAGAGUGAUUAUUAAAACACUCAUCCUUGAAUCCAUUUGAGUUGGUAUGAUAAUAUUGAUUUGAGGUCUCGAAGUGUGUUUCUUCUCAAGGUUUUAAGCUCGAUUUUCCGGUGUUAAUUUGGGUAGACUAAUUUAACUUCUUUAAAAAAAAAAACAUAGAAGCAAAUCAGUUCAAGUGAAUGGUUGUUCCGAGAUAGAACGAAAAAAAUUGAAUUUAAUUAAUUCAAUUUAUACAACUUUGGAACAAUUCGAAAAUUACAAAAAUGAAUUUUGAACAACAAAGGGCGAUUAAACGGAUACACAUAUAUUAAAUAAAUUGAAAAAUAAUAUUAAUUUUUUUACUAUUUAUUUAUUAAUUUAAAUUAUGGGGAACAUAAUUAAUAGAAUUGGAAAUUCUUUUUCAUAAUUACUUAUAAGAAAAUGUUAUAAAUGAUUUGUUAAGAAAUCUAAAAAAAAAUUUUUAUCUCAGAACUAGUGUAUCACAUUCAACACCAUAAAACUUCAGAAAAUGCCUUUUUCUACUUAAAUUUUUCAUUUAUUUUACUUUAUAACUUUCUAAUAUACUCUUAUUAACAUGACCCUUGUUCAUAAGUAUGUGUUUUCUCUUUUUAAUCAUGACACACUCUAUUUUUUUUUUAAGUAGUCUAAUGACUAAAAAAUUCACCUUUUAAGAUGAAUAAGUGAGGAAUCCGACGUUCGAACAUCGAUCCCUGCAUAUAAAAUGAGGGAUUGCACUUUUGUGACAUAAUGUCAUAUGACAUUCGUCAAUUCAAGUGUGACACAUGACAAUAAUUUUUUUUAAACAUAAAAAUAUGUGAAAAAGAGCGAGAGAUAAUAGUUGAAUUGACUUAUGUAUUACAAUUAGAUUGACCAAUAUUAGAGACAUUCCAAUCUUAAGGGUGCACAAAUGGAGUCCUAGAACAAGAUGUCCAUACCAAUUGAACUACGUUCGUUGGGAUGUUGCACAUCCUAUAUAUACAAAAAAAUGAAUUGAUGCCCGAGAAUUGAACAAAUGUUUCAUGUUAAUCCUUAAAUUUAAAAAAUUGCAAUGCAUUCUCUAACAUUAAAGAAUAAUGGUCCAUAUAUAGUCUUUUUUCUUCCUUCCAAAUUCAACAACCCAAUUUUGAAAAUACUUGUUUGUUUGUCUUGACGCAACAGACGAUUAUUUGAGACAAUGUUUAAGUUUUUCAUUAGUUUUGAUGAAUGUUUGCUAAAGAAACAAUUUGAUAGAGAAAUUACAUUAACUGAUCUUCUCUAUUUUACGAGACAAGGUUAUUAUUUUACAAAUUUUAGCGAUUAUAUUAUUAUUUAGAUAAAUUAGAUACUAAUUGAACUUGCUGUAUAUAUUUGGCUACUUAAUUAUCAAUGAGAAUCGUUUCUUUUCGGAGAUGAAAAGUCAAAGCUAAUGCCCAGCUGGUUCUGUUAGUCGCACCCUCUACAUCCUAGUUACAUCCAUCUUACACAAAUUAUUUAAAUUUAACAAGGGUUUAAAAUAGUUCUUGUCUCAUAUAUAUUUAUAAAACUAAUUCUAUAUUGAUUAUAUAAAUCACUUGUUUAUUUUAUCUGAAAUUUUUUAUGUUUUUUCAUCUAAGAAUCAUACGUAACUCAAUUCAUGUAUCGUCAAGGAUAGUUUUGAUACGUAUCUGGACUCAGUUUACAUACAAUAUGUGAAUUAUAAAUCCACACAUAUAUAAACACAUUAUCUUAGUUAGUUCACAUAAUCAUCCAAUUAGAUAUUUGAAAUGUAUUUACGUAAGUUGAAUUAACAUAUAUGUAUCUGAAUUAAUUUCACAUGUAAAUGUGUAAACUAAAUUCAUGUAUAUGCAGUACUCCAAAAAAAAAAUUAAAAAAAAUUCAUGUAUAUGCAUGUUUUACUAAAACUAUAUAUUAUGUAUACGCCAAAUGAUAAUGGUUGAAAAUUUGAAAAGAAACUAGAUAUAUUUUCAUCAAAAAGGGUGUAACUAAAUAAAUUCUAACUAUUUAGUAGAAAAAAAUUAUAUCGCUAAUUAUGAUUAUCAUAUUAUAAUUAUAGUGUUAUGUUAUAUACAAUGUCGUCUUAACUUCAAAGGGUCAAGCCUUAGAAAUUAUUUUAUGAUCAAAUAGAGCAUUUCCUUUACCAAAUUUCAUGGCAAUGAAUGAAACCUCCUAACGUGAUUAAGAAACUGAAAAACAGGCAAAAGACAAGCCCUGAUUGAGUUCCCACCAAAAAGCCUCCACCAUGAAUCAACUUUGCUCUUUAACUUUUCCCAGAAAACUACAAUAUAAUUUUGGUUUCUAGUCACCAAUAACGCCGUAGAUUGUAAGUAAACGGAAGCUGCACGCUUAACCAAUUCGUUCUUGAUAGCAAUGUCCGAGUCAAAAACAUUUCCUUCAUACAAUGAACAUCUUGUUGAUGUAUUGCACAUAAUGUCCUUUAAACUUAUGUAAUGUAAGUUGUCAUUGAUAUCUGAAUGUCUUCUUUCUAUUGAGGAUUUGUUUGGAAUUCUUAAUGAACGUGAUGAACGUGAAAUUAUCUCAAGCUCUUCUAUCUCUAUUUCCAUUUUUUUUAACAUAAGUCAUGUGAUAUUGAAAUAAUAUUGUAUUGAGUUGAGGACAUGUUAAUUUGGUUUAUUGUAUCAAUUCUGUGAAUUUUUUUAAUUUGGCAUGUUAUGGAGGAUGGAAAAGAAAAGGGGUGUGCAUUUUUCUAAUUUAGGAGUUAGGUACAUUAAAAUCACCUUUAAGUUUGUUUUUUUAGGGCUUCAAAAAUGGUAGGGUGAGAGAGAGACGGAGAGAGUUUGUUGAGCAAAAGAUGGGCUUCCUUUCAUAUAGGGACCCCAAAAUAGAGGGUUUAUAUUAAAUUUUUAUUGAGCUUUUCACUUCGAUGAAAAGUAUAUACAUAUAAAACAACCUUAUUUGAAUUAAAUCACAUGUAACCUUAUUUGUCCUUAACAAUCAUAAAUUAUUUUUUAAGUUUUUUUUAUAAGAAAUUUUGUAAUUCGUUUGAAAUCAACACAUGUAUGUCAUUUUCCCUUCUCUUUCAACCAUGUCGCUUUCAAAAGUAAGACAAUUAGAAAUCAUGUCAAAACAAACGCUAGGCUUCAAAGUUGAAUGAUCCAUUUUUUAAUGUAAUGAAUGAAUGAUCCAUUAUACACAUGCACUGCCAAAGAUAUAUACUCUUUUUAUUAGUUUUAAAAAUAAAUUAUGUUUUAUAAGAGACGAUGCUUUUGAAUUUCGCUCAAUCGUUUUGUUUUUUGAUGAUCCACAACUAUUCCCAAUCUCAAACUACACUAUAUAAUUAAGACUUCAUAGGAAAAAAGGUCGUGGUAAUUCAAAUUUCGAACGGAAGAUAAGCAAGAAGUUUUGAAUGGUAGUAAUAAUUACACUCUUUAUAAUUGUGUUUACACUUCAAAAUAAGUGACUUGCUAGCUGAAAUAGGCAAAUAUUCGAAUUUAAGGUAAUGUGAGUUCUUAACUUCUUUGUUUUUUUUAACAGCAAAUAUUAUUAAACAAUCAAAUCUCUGCUUAAGACGAACAUAAAUUGGUGAAACUGAGAAUACAAACAAAAGACGCUGUAUAGCCGAAACACCCGAAAAUAAACACUUUAAAAACACCCUAUGACAACACCCACCAAAAUACACGUCAUCACCUAAAACAAACCCCUUCACGAAAACGACCACUGUAAAAACGAUAUCCAAUACCACCCAUCGUCAAUUAAAUGUGAGUUAGUCGAAUCUUGCUAGGUCUACAAAGGUCAUGGGAUGUAAGAAUCACUCAAAACUUAGCAGAAAACUUGACAAUUUGACAUUUUACUCAUGUUCAUGUUUGUAGCGCCACUAAAUCAAGUAGCUAAGAGCAUGGGUGUUCCAUGUUUGUAGCACCACUAACCGAAGUAGCUAUGAACACAUACGUUCCAUGUUUGUAGCACCACUAACCGAAGUAGCUAUGAGCAUGGAGUCACAUUAUGAGGAGGUUGCAUGGAAUUAAAUUUAAGACGCCACAUAUCCUCAACGGCCUGAUAAUUCACAUGCUAUCCAAAUUUGAUUAUUUAAUUAAAUAAAAAAGAAUAAUUUUCACAUUUUAUUUAUAAAAGAGAUACAUGGUUUUGGACUGAUUUUUUUAUCUUUCAAUUGUACUCUUCAUUUAAAUUAUUCUAAUUAUAAUAUUUGUAUAAUAUUAUAUGAUAAAAUAAACAUACAAUUAAUACAAUAGAAAGUAGUUUACAUAAUAGUAAAUUGAAAGAAGAAAAAAGUAACAGCAGAUAUUUAUAUCCACUUUGUAAAUUUUGUAGAUAGGAUAUAUUAAUAUAUAUAUAUAAUUUUUGAAAAUAGAGUCUAAUAUAAGGACAGUAUAUCCAUUAGAAAAUUGAGAAAGAGCCUAUAGGAUUGGAUUGAUUGCUAGUUGCGCCACUCUCAUCACACUUUGCUAUGCUUCCCUGAUUCUCUCAUAAAUCACCAACUUCAACAAUUUUAGCAAAAUUAAUUAAACAAGAUGGAAGGUGGAGUACCAGAGGCUGAUAUCUCAGCUUUUAGAGAAUGUAUGUCUCUUUCAUGUCCUUCGACUUGCUUUCUCUGCUGGUAUUGGUGGCCUUCUCUUUGGUUAUGACACUAGUUAGUUACUUCAUUUUGUUCCAUAUUAUUAUUACUUGUUUUCCUCUGUCUUUGGUUUUAUUUAAUUUUUUGAUUUAUGUAGGAGUCAUAUCUGGGGCGCUAUUAUAUAUCAGAGAUGAUUUCAAAGACAUGGCUUCAGGUACUUACUCUUCUUCAUUUCCAUUAUUUUCAUCUAAACUGCCAAGAAACAAAUGUUUUUUUUCUUUGACUCAUCGGAAUCAUCUCCAUUUCUAUAUAAAAAACAACAUACGAUUUUAGUUUAUAUAAAUAUGAACCAACUUUAAAUAAUUUAAAUAUCUUUUUAAUGAUAAUUAUAUAUAGAAAUGUAUCAUAUGAGAAUGACAUGUUUAUAUGAGAAUGAUGAGAAUGAAUAUGAGCCUUCAGAUUAAAUGGUUGAGAUUAAAUUAUCACUUAAGUGAGUCAUGUGACAUAUGACAAUGUCAUGUGCCAUUCUCAUUCAAAUUCAACUUUCUCUCUCCUCCACAAUCAGAAAUAACUCCCGCCCUAAUUCUUCUCCUUCUUCUCACCGCGUCUCUUUGUAUUCUACAUCUUCUUACCUUAUCUCUCUGCCUUCCACUGUUCUUAUCUCACAUUUCAGAUGCGCUUUCCUUAUUUCUAUAUCUUAAAUGUUUGAUUGCUACUAGUUAUUAUUAUGCAUGUUGCUAGUUAUAUUAUUAUGCAUGCUUUGUUCAUGUGUCCUCUUUUGUCAAUUUAAUCCUCUUUUUAUGAUUAACCAUGGCUUUGUUCAUCUUAUUAUUACUAUUUAUUUUAGCAUGCUAGUUUGUUCAUAUUUCAUCUUUUAUUUGACCAUCUUUUUAUAACAUAUGUUUUCGACAUCUUUUUAGCUAUGUUCAAUUUAAUAAUAAUUUAUUUGUUGUUUUUAUUUCUUUUAGGAUUAAUUUUUUUUAUAAAAUCUACGUAUUAUAUUAAUAUUAAUAGAUAAGAAAAUCAAAAUAUAUUUCUAGUUUUCUCAAAAAAAAAAAAAAUUCUUGUCAACGAAAUAUAGAUUAUACUCUUUUUUGAAGAAAGAUUAUACUCUUGUUUUUUUUUUUUUUUUUUUUUUAAAAAGAUUAUACUCUUUUAAGUAUUUUUUUUUCCCUCAAAAAAAAAAUAUAGUUAUACAAGUAUUAAUAUACAAAUUGCAUAUUUUUAGUUUUUAAGUGGUCGAGUCAUCGAUUCAAUCCGAUUUAAUGUAGUUAAAUACUUAAAAAAAGUUAAUCCUAAACAGAGUCAUCUAACCGAGUUAUACGGUUUAAUCCAGUUCAGUCAUGCAGUUCAAUCAAUGACUCAGUAGUUCGAUCAUUAAUCCAAUAACUCAGUGCCCCUGCCGAAUCGACGACCGAGCCGAGUUUUAAAACUAUGCAAAUAUGACCCCAAUCUCUCAACAUUAGUAUCACUUUGUUUUGUCUGACUUUGUGGAAAUCAUUCAUCGCUCUCUCAUUAUAUAUAAAUAUUUUGCAUAUGAUCCAAACGGUGGUUUGUUUCUCAAUUUCCAAAGAACCAAUUCACCACAACCACCACCUCAACCUCUUUCAAAAUGGAAGGUGAAGUACAUAAGCCUGAUAUAUCAGCUUUUAGAGAAUGUCUUUCCCUUUCAUGGAAAAAUCCUUAUGUCCUUCGUCUUGCUUUUUCUGCUGGUAUUGGUGGCCUUCUCUUUGGCUACGACACUGGUAAUUACACUACAACCUUUUUUCUUUUGGUUUUCCUAUGUUUCAAUCUCUCAUGUUAUCAACCAUUAGUCUAUUUAACAUGUUUUGUUUUGUUUUGUUUUUGUCUCCUUGACACAGGAUACUCAUUAUUAUUGAUAUUAAUUUCUCAUUAAUUAAUUAUAUUACUAUUUUUGAUGGGUUGAUAAUUAAUUUUACUUGUUUUGUAACAUGCAGGUGUCAUAUCUGGGGCUCUUUUGUACAUCAGAGAUGAUUUCAAAGCUGUUGAUACCAAAGUUUGGCUUCAGGUAAAUUUCUUUCAUAUGAUAUGAAUGUGUAUUCUUUAUAUGUGUUUUAAUUUAAUUUCUAUGUACAUACGUUUCUGUUUAACACUCUGUACAACAACAAAAAAAACCUAUGCUUCUCUCUUUUGUUAAACAAGUUCAAUUUUUCUAUACCAUAUUUUUGGAAUUAAAUUUUAAUAGUCGGUUUAGUAAAAAUAUUGAUCAUCUUUAUCUUCUUUUCUUGUUUAUUGGUGAUCAUGGGAAGACCGUUACGGAAAAUUUUAAUUAACAAGAUUAACAUGCGAAGAUUCUCUUUUAUUUAUUGGAUAAUACUUCCUAACUAAAUAAUCCGGAAUAUUUUUAGGGAUAUUUGUUGUUUUUAUUCUUUAAUUUAUGUUUUUAUCAAAACAAAAUCAGUUUUUAGUUAUUUUUAUUUUACUUUAAUAUCUCCUACGUUUUUGAACUAUUUAUUAAGAUUAUUAAAAAAUUAUUUUUGAUUUCUGCGAUAAAUAUAAAAUCAGUUUUUCGGUUUUUCUUCCUUUGGGUUUGAAGACAAUAACAUGCCAGAUAAAUUCACACAUGUUAUUUCCCUAAAUUCUAACAUAUUAAUCUCAAGCUGCAUCGUUAUCAAUCUAUUCACAGUAGCAAGCACUUUAUCACAUGGACCCGUGGCCUACUAUAUUAACUUGGAUGGAUAUACAAAUAAUAACGAAAAAGUAAUAUCAUAGGAGAUACCUAGUUGGAAAUAAAAAUCUUAAUCGGACACAUAAAAAAAAUGAUAAAGAAUUAAGUCAUAAAGUUCAAUUAUUUUUUCUUUUAAUUUUUUUUUUCAUUUAUGUUUGUGUACUUAAAUUUUGUUUUUUUAAUUGUAUUUGUAAUAAGUAAGUAUGUCUCUAAGAAUAUACGUGGGAGAAUUGAAUGAGAGAAUCAUAUUGGAAAAAUGCAGCUACUACUUGAUUGUUUGUUAUUCUAUUUCGUUUUUUUUUUUUUUUUUCUUUCUUCUUCUUUUUUCUCUUUAAACCAUAGAUUUUGGUGGCACAUGGAGUAAAGGUUUAUUUGACACGGAGAAAAUCACUUUUAUAUUCUUUUGUUUAAAGGAGAAAAUCACUUUUACUUAGAAAUUUUUUAUCCGUUUGUUAUCGUCUUUCAAAUAAAGAUAAUCUAAAAAAGAAAUUAAAAAAUGGUUUAAAAUAAGAAUAUUUUUUUACUCAAAACAUGAAGAUAGUAGCUAUCAAAAUCAUUUUUAAAAAAGAAAAAAUAUCUUAUGUGUAGUUUGAUCUCUAAACUUUUAACAAGACCUAAUUACAAAUUACUUAUAAGUUAAUAGACUCAAUUAAAAUUUUGUUUAGAUCAGAAACAUAUUUAAAAAUUCCAAAUAAAUUAGUAUAGUUAUUUUUUUUAAAAUAAAGUGCACGUGAGGUGUAACUUGUAGUAGUAGGUAGUAGUUUUUCCUCUUUUAUAAAAACCAUAAGGUGAAAAAAGAAAGUAGACUUUUCUUUUCGUGAUUAGUAAGAGGUACCUUUUGCAAAUUGAUAGUACAAAACAUUGUGGAAUGAUUAAAUAUAUUAGAAAAGUUACGAAAAAGUAAGUAGUAACCAGCAUGUUUUAGAAAUUUAUAAUUUGUACAAUAAAGAACAUUUGAAGUUUGAUCUUCUUUCAAGUUCCAUGCAAUACAUGCAUAGGAUAUUUUCAUGAUUGGCAUGGUUUGAAUUUGAAUGCAUACAUGAUAUAAUCUAUGUUUAGGUAGAAUCAUGCAUGUUGAAAUACAAUUGUAAAUGUGAUAAUAAUGAUUAAAUUUUUCAAUUUGACAGUCAGCUAUAGUGAGUACUUUACUUGCUGGAGCAGUAAUAGGUGCUGCAGUUGGUGGCUGGAUUAAUGAUCGAUUCGGAAGGAAAAGAUCAAUUAUGAUUGCAGAUACCCUCUUUUUUAUAGGGUCUGCUAUCAUGGCUGCUGCAACCAGCCCUGCUAUUCUCAUCGUGGGCCGUGUUUUUGUCGGACUUGGUGUUGGAAUGGCUUCAAUGGCUUCUCCACUGUACAUUUCAGAAGCUUCGCCUGCUAAAGUGAGAGGUGCCCUUGUAAGCCUCUGUUUGGUUUGGCUUUUGCAAAGCCAGAAUCAAUUCUGGAGCAUUUCAAAAGCAAUUCUGCAAUAUUUAACAUGUUUGGUUUGGCUUUUUAAAAUAGUUUUUAUCCUCCAAAAGCAAUUCUAGUUGAAGCUACAAUUCCUAGCUUCUUACUUUCCUAGAAUCAAUUCUACACCCUCAAUUCUAUUAAUUCCAUCCCUGCCCUCAUUAAUUUAGUAAUUUCUAUUUAUUUGUAUUUAACUAUGUCUAUUUUGGUAAUUAUACAUUCAAAAGUAAUUUUGAUCAAAACUAUCCAAACAACAAUCAUUCUGUUUAAUCAAUUCUGCAUUAUUGUAUCCAAACAUAAAUCAAUUCUGUCAAAAUCAAUUCUUUCAGAAUCAAUUCUGUCAGAAUCAAUUCUACACACCUCAGAACCAAACACACAAGUCUCAACGGUUUUCUCAUCACUGGGGGACAAUUUCUCUCCUAUCUCAUCAACUUGGCCUUCACUAAGGUAUGAAAACUAUUAUAUUAGAUCAUGAUUUUUGUUUCUUUCUCCUUAUAUCGAAAUCAUGUUGUUUGUGCCUUGUAAAAAGAAAAUAAGUUAAUCAUGACACUUUUAUUGAUGAAGCUUUAAAAUGAUUGACAUAAUUAUAAAAUUUUCAAAUAGGAAGGUCCUUUAGGUUGAAAUUGUCGUGAAAUAACUUUUGUGAUUAAGAAUUUCUAAUUCCAAGAUCGUUCCAUGCAUUUUUUUAUUUUACUAAAUUUGUGAUUCAUUCAUUAAAUAUUUCAUUUCAUAAUCUUCUAUCUACCUUAACAUUAUUGAUUAUUGAUUUGUUUAGGCACCUGGAACAUGGAGGUGGAUGCUUGGUGUAGCAGCAUUACCUGCUAUACUACAAUUGCUACUAAUGUUUUGGCUGCCAGAAUCACCUCGUUGGUUGUUUCGAAAGGUUAGUUAAAUCAUCUACAUUGUUUUGUCCAAUGUUGUCAAUCAAUAGUUUGUUCAAAUCCGCUACAAAAACAGUGUCUUAGGGAUGCUACAAUCAUUAUGUGACAGAAUUUUGCUUGUCUCUACAGGGUAAAGAGGAGGAAGGAAAAGCAAUUCUGAGAAAGAUUUACCCAGCAGAAGAAGUUGAUGCUGAAAUUCAGGCUUUAUAGGAAUCAGUUGCAAUGGAAUUGAAGGAAGCUGAAUCUUCAGAAAAGAUAAGUAUGAUCACACUUUUAAAAACUACAAGUGUGAGAAGAGGUUUGUAUGCAGGAAUGGGCCUUCAAAUAUUCCAACAAUUUGUAGGAAUCAAUACCGUAAUGUACUUCAGCCCAACUAUUGUUCAACUAGCUGGUUUUGCAUCUAAUCAAACCGCAAUGCUUCUGUCUCUUAUCACUGCUGGGUUGAAUGCGUUUGGUUCUCUUAUAAGCAUAUAUUUCAUCGAUAAAACCGGGAGAAAGAAGCUAGCUUUGAUUAGUUUGUUUGGAGUUGUCUUAUCACUUGUGCUUCUUACUGUCACUUUCUGACAAACCGAAACUCAUUCUCCAAUGAUAAGUGAAAUAGAAACUUAUCAUUUCAACAACACCUGUCCUGCUUUUACUCCUUCUCGUGGCGGAUGGGACUGCACAAGGUAAAUAUGCAAUCUUCCUCUUUCCAUAGGCCAUUUUUAACUCAUUUCCAUAAAAUUUGCAUGAUAGCUAAUCAAGAGUAUUAUAUAUGCAGCUGUUACCAGGUGCAUGCUUGAUCUCAAAUGACAUGACAAAGAACCAAUGUCAAAAAGGACACAGAUCAUGGUAUACACAAGGAUGUCCUAGCAAAUUGGGUUGGCUUGCACUGAUUGGAUUGGCUCUCUAUAUACUGUUCUUUUCACCUGGAAUGGGGACUGUUCCAUGGGUCAUAAACUCUGAGAUUUACCCUUUAAGGUAUAGAGGAGUCUGUGGAGGAAUGGCUUCAACAAGUGUUUGGAUCUCAAACCUUAUUGUUUCUCAAUCCUUUUUAUCUCUCACACAAGCUAUUGGAGUUGCAUGGACAUUCAUGUUGUUUGGAAUUGUUGCUGUCAUAGCAAGUUCCUUUGUCCUCGUUUUCGUACCAGAAACCAAAGGUGUUCCAAUUGAGGAAGUGGAGAAGAUGCUUCAACAAAGGACUCUGCAAUUCAAGUUUUGGAAUAAGAGAAUCGCCUCUCAGAAGGGUUGAGUCAGUUUGAGUUAGUUUAUGACUAUUUUCUUAGGAUCUGCAUUAAUAAUGUUUUCAUAUUUUUAGUGUUUUGAUUUUAUGCUUUUUUGGAUUACCAGCUUAAAAAAUAAGUGGAAUGAAUAUCCACAUUGUGAAUAUAAAAUUAUGCUACUCAACAUUUGGUAAAUUAGAGCUUUCACUGUUUCACAUCUCAAAUAUCUAAUCGUUUUGUCUUUUUGUUUUCAAUAUUCUUUAUUCACAAUGAUGGCAAGGAUUCUUGCUUGGUGUUUACUAUACUUGAGUAUUAAUGUAGUCACUCUUAUUUUACACUUUACUUGAUACCCGUGCAAUUACCCUCCAAAAUUAUACAAAUUAAAUACAGAGACUUCGUGAGGAAAAGGAAUCAAUCAAGAUUGAAAUAGAACUAUUAGAAUAAGUGGUUUGGUUUAAUACAACUCCAUAAAACUAAUUUGUAAAGUGAGAUUGCACCUAUUUAUAAACACAUAUUUAAGUUAUAUCUAAUUUAAUGUGAAAUUUUUUAAUACUCUUUCACGUCCAUCAUUAUUGAGUUUAGUGUGUAGAUAUAAAUAGUUGGUAGUCCGAUAACGAAAUCCUAAUAGGAAGUGAUCCUACGAGAAUCUUCUGAAGACUAUGAUACUAUUGUAGGAUUUUUUUAUAUUGGCCUAAUUCAUCUCAAUGUACACUAUUAUCAAGAGUCAUAUUUUCUAAGUGGGACUUCAGAUUUUCUCAUAACACCCCUUUGCGUUCAACAUUAUUGGCCUUGGUGCGUGGAUAUAAAUGAUUGAUGAUGAUAAUAGAAACCUGAUAACAAAUAACCCAACUGAUAUUGGAGGAUGCUUUGAUAUCAUAUUAGAAUAUGUGGUUGGGUUUAACAGAAGGCCCCUAAUUAAUCAAUUUUAUAGGGAAAAAAAAUUUGACACGUAUAAAUUUAAGUGAAUUAUUAUCUUUGCUUUUGUAUGUAGACAAAGUGGGAAGCACCAACCGUCAUUUUAGUCUUCAAAAUUGUACAAGUCGACACAAUUUGGUCCUCUAAUUUACCAAAUAUUAUAGUCCCAAAAGUUGAAGAUCAUCAAUUUAUUUAGUCAUUGCUUCGAUCAAUUUAUUCUCCAAGAUUUUCUCUGGAUUUGUGAUUCUCUACUUAUGUUCAAUUUUCAUGCACAAACGUUGUUUUGAGUUGGCUUGGGCAUCGAUAUUGUAUUGUAUCAUAAGUAUAGAAGUAUAAACAAGUACGUUUUCUUAAUCGUUGAAAAAAACAAGACAACAACAUGAUCGGUUUGGAAGGAAAAUUACAAUCCUUUAUGCAGAUGGACUAUUCUUUGCUGGAUCAGUAAUCAUGGCUAUUGCACCUAACCCAACAAUUCUAAUUGGAUAUAAAAAAUAAAAUACAUUCAUGUUCUUAUGGAUGUUUGAACCUUUUUUCCUUCUUUCACCUAUAGUUGUUAGUUUUUACAUUAUAUAUGCACAUUUUCCCACCAAAAUAUGUAUAUCACCACAUAACAAAUUUUAAAAUUUUGCAAAUCGAUGUUAUUAUGCAUAUUAUGGAAUUGAUCCCUCAACUUUUUAAAAAUGAAGAGAAUAAAAUUCUAAUUUCCUCAGAAUUUCCAAUGAUUCCGUCAAAUUCGAACGGUUAGAAACUGAGUUACUUUUUUUUUUCUUUCUAUUAUCAGCUGCCUGGAACAUGGAGAUGGAUGUUAGGAAUGGCCGCAGUACCAGCUGUUGUACAACUUGCACUUAUGUUUUCACUCCCAGAAUCACCACGUUGGCUAGCUAUACCGAAAAGUUAGUGCUCAUUCAUCAUCAUCAUCAUCAAUUUUCUAAGAUUUUGUUUUCCUUAUUAAGGUGCUUAUAGAAUAACUUAUCCAUAGUUUAUAUAAACUUAUCGUACAUAAGUGCUAAUUUAUAAAAAUGGUUUAUGACACGUACAUAAGUGCUUUCCACUCAUUAAGCUCUGUAUGAUAAAACAAAUAUGAGAACAAUUUAACUUUAUUUCAUCUUUGAUAAUAGCGAAAAUUUAUACAAUAUGAUUGGUUUUGCCAAUAUGUAAUAGGGAAGGAAAGAGGAAAGUAUAGCAAUUUUGAAGAAGAUUUAUCCACCUGAGGAAGUUGAAGCUGAGAUCAAAGUUUUGAGUGAAUCAACUGAAAAGGAAAUUAAGGAAGCAGAAUUUUCAAACAACAUAACAAUAGUACAAAUGAUGAAAACCAAAGCUAUAAGGAGAGGUUUAUAUGCAGGAAUGGGACUUGCAAUUUUCCAACAAUUUGUUGGAAUCAACACUGUCAUGUACUAUACUACAGUCCAGCCAUUAUUCAGUUAGCCGGUUUUGCAUCCAAUCAAACGGCACUUCUUCUGUCACUCAUAACAUCUGGACUAAAUGCAUUUGGUUCCAUUUUAAGCAUGUAAUUGAUUGAAAAAAGCGGAGAAAGAAACUCGCUUUAAUAAGUUUGACAGGAGUUGUAGGAUCACUAAUUCUUCUUACCGUUGUUUUUCAUCAGACUGCGAUUACCUCACCACUUAUUAGUCCAACUGAAACUGCUAACUUCAAUUCCACUUGCCCUGGUUACUCUAAAGCUAUUGACCCUGCUAAAUGGGAUUGUAUGACUUGUCUUAAAGAUGAAUCAAAUUGUGGCUUCUGUGAUUCCACCGAUAAGGUAAACAAAGUAGUUUAAAUUUAUUAUGCUCUUGUAUAUAUUCAUCGUUGUUAAGAGCUCUUAUACAUAAUCUUGUAUCAAAUGUUGGGUUUGCAGCUAAAACCGGGGGCAUACUUAAUCCAAGACGACGCAUCUAAGGAGCGCUGCGCAUCACAACACAGAGAUUGGUACACACAAGGAUGUCCAAGCAAUAUAGGAUGGUUGGCGAUAGUUGGUUUAGCAGUCUACAUAAUAUUCUUUUCACCAGGAAUGGGAACGGUUCCAUGGGUUAUCAACUCUGAAAUACACCCUUUAAGGUAUAGAGGAAUAUGUGGAGGAAUAGCAUCAACAACAGUGUGGGUCUCUAACCUCAUUGUUUCUCAAUCCUUUUUAUCUGUCAUAGAACUUCUUGGGACUGCAUGGACAUUCCUGGCUUUUGGAGUAAUUAGUUGUAUGGCCAUUGUUUUUGUUAUUAUUUUUGUCCCAGAAACUAAGGGAGUUCCAAUGGAGGAGAUGGAAAAAUUACUUGAAGAAAGAAAACUUGGUUUCGAUCUUGGGAACAAACCUAGCUCAUAAGUUAAGCUCGUGACGAGUCCUAUAUAUGUCAUCGAAAAAUAAAUAAAUUGAACAAGGCCAUUAUAUAUGUACGUGUAUACCCCAUUUCAUAUAUGUACAAUUUAAAUAAUGUACCAAGUUGAAUACAGCAUAUUGCUCUAUGUUCUUCUUUCAUUUAUUUAUACCGUGUACUUCAAGUUAACUAACAUAUGCUUUUUGGUUGGACUUUUUUAUGAACAAAUUUACCUUUAGGAACUAAAUUUUUUGUAAUUAUGUAAAUUUUAAUCCAAUAUUGUUCAGAAAAAUUUACCUUGGAAUAAAUUUAAAUCCAAUACUCUCCUUUAGAAUUUUUAAAUUCUAAGGGUAAAUAAUAUGUUAUAAGUUUAAAAAAAUGAGAGAAAAAAAGAUCAAUUGUGUGUUUGAGAUGACAAUAUUGACAGAAUGAUAGCCAACCGCCGAGUACUCUUUUAAAUUCUAAAGAAGUGAUGGUUAGUAUAAUUCAUUCCGUCAAUAUUAUCAUCUCAAACGCACAUUCAUCUUUUUCUCUAUUGUUUUCUUGUACAUCUUGAGAUAGUUCACCUUUUAAAGGCCUGGUCAUCACUAAAACACAACAUUUAGGCCUCUUUGUUGCUCCUGCAGUUGCAAGGUCCUAUUAUACAAAGAGGUUAGAUAUAUACCUACCUCUUUUUACAAGCUUGAGGGUUUUCUUGAAAAGCUUGUUUGCAGCAAGAGGUUAAGCAACGGAAGCUGGUGCAAGCAAUAUCUUCUUCCUCUCCUUCUCUUCCAGCACCAAGUCACUCCCCAUUUCUCUCUUGCUUCGAUGAAAGAGGUUUUACGGUCUCCCAAAUCUCAAGCUUGGCGGUUUCUAUUAAAAGUAGAGAUUUAAUAUUGAAAAUAGCAAUUUUUAAACUUCUAAACAUUUGAAUAUAUGAUUCUUGAGACAAAAUUACUAUAUAUAGUUACUUUUUAGAAUUGUAUCUCCCCAAUAUUUUCAUAAACGAUACGGUUUGGUUUGGAUUGGUUGUGAGACAAAAAAUCAUUCAAACAAAAAAUUUAAAGGAUUGUGCUUCGGUUCAGUUUAAAUGACUUAAAAAAACGAUCAAACCCAAACCUGAUUUUUUAUGUAGUUAGUUUGGAUCAAAUUUUGGAUAUCAACUCUUUAAAAAUAUAAAGUGUAAAAAAUCUCAAUUUUUCUUUCACGUCUUAAAUUAGACUUUAUUAAGUCUAAUGUGUGAUGUUAGAUUUCUUAUGAUAAUUUUAUAGUUAAAUCAUGUCAGACUUUAUGUCAAUGUGUAGGGAUGUUAAUAUUAUCCAUAAAUGUGGAUCCCAUAAAGAAAUUACGCACAUGAAGAAAAGAAUGAGGGAGAAAAAAAAAACCCAAAUAUAAUGCAGAAAUGAGAAUGAGUAUCGUCUCUCGACUCCCAUGACGGGAAACAAUUUGAAUGGUGGGACACAAGGACGAAAAAUAUUCCUUGCGAUCAUGUCCCAACCCCGCCCCAUUGACAUCCUUGGAGCCCUAUGAUUUAUUUAUUUUUGAGGGAAACCUAUGAUGUGUUGGUUGAUUAAAAAAACAAGAAAAAUAACGCCCAAUAUAAAAACCUAAAACAUCCCCUCCAAAAAAAAAACUAACACAAAACUUGGGUUUUGGGUUUAGCUAACUUGUUUAAGAAGUCGCAGCUUGUGAGAAACCGCGAUUUUGAGAAGAUCUUGCAGCAUGCCUACCGUGAGUGUAGGGCGGGAUCGUCUGUUUGCAGCUCUAGGAAAAACUUACAGUAAGUCACCUUCCAUUUCUUCUCCUUUCAAUCAAUCUCUAAUAUCAUUCUUCAAUUAUUUUCAUGAAUUUCCAUUUCUCCAGCACAAGAGGAAUUUGAAGACCUAUGCUUCAGUUUUGGAAUUGAGCUUGACGAUGUUGUAAGUUACUUUCCCUUUUAAUUUCCAACUAAUUAUCAUCAUAAUCUCGUUAAUUAAUUAAUUAAUUAAUACACUAUCAUUGUAUAUUAGACUACAGAAAAAGCAAUUGUAAGAAAAGAGAAGCAUUUAGAACAAGAAGAAGCUGAUGAGGAUGAAGAAGUUAUCUAUAAAAUUGAAAUUCCUGCUAAUAGGUACCCACCCCCUAUCAUUAUAGUCCCUGCAAUUAUACCGUUUUUAUGGUUUUAGUCUUGUAAGUGUUUUUGUUUGGGUUCCGUCCUUGCAAAUUCUAAAACACUUGUUUUUAGUCCCUGAAGUCAUACGUGGCACAAUAUAAUCAAGCCACGUGGCCCAUCAAGGUGACGUGAGGGACCCAAAAACAACUGAGGACUGAACCCAAACAAAAAAACUUGCGGGAACUUAUACCAAAAUCCUUAUAAUUGCAGAGACUAAAAUCAUAUUUAAACCUAUAUUCUAUGUUUGUGUUAUAGAUGUGAUGUGAAUCAACAAAAUGUGUUAAUGACAUGAUGAUUGAGUAAAUGUUGCAACUCUAAUCUAGAUUUUUAAUGUUUAAGUUUUUCGGUUAUCCUCUUAAUUUUUUACUUUGAUUUGGGAUUCGUAAUCUAUAUUGUAUUUGAAAUAAGCUUUUGAGUACAUCAGUGGAUAUUGACGAUAAAAAUUCAAACUUGAUACUUGGUUAAAUUGGAAUGGAUGUGAUAGUGCUUGCUUCCCUAUUGUGUUAGGACCUAGUAUGAGAGGGUGUUUUAAGUAAUUAGUAGGUAGUUAGUUAGGUUUAAGUAAUUAUUAGUAAGUGGCCCGUUAGGAUUAGGAUUUAAUAAUAAGAGGCCCAUUAGAGUUAAAUACUAGAAUGUUCUCUUUAUUUGUAUAUAAAGGGGAAUUCUUAGGAGUUUAGAGUAUGACAGAUUGAGUUUUCUGUUCAGGGCCAGAGUAGGAUUCCUCUCUGAGUAGUGUCGGAGCUUUGCUCUGGGAGUAGUUAGAGAAUCUCUCUUCUACUAUUUUACUAUUUUCGUUCGUAUCAAUAAACCACCCUAUUUUCUUUAUUCACUAUUUGUUUCUUCUUUUGUUAGUUCAUUGGUAGGAUCCUUGAGGUUCCUAUCAUAUUGUUGGAAAACAAAGUUGGAAUACUCAUUAUGAAUGAUGUGGUACAUCAUUUUCUCAAAGCAAUAACUCACUUAAUUAUGUAACCAUUUGAAGCAAAUCAUCACACAUUGUCACUGUUAUCAUAUGUGGAAAAAGUGUUAGUUUUCUUUAAAGCAAAAUGUCACGCUGAAUUGCUGUUUACUUUUUGCUCAGAUAUGACUUACUCUGCCUUGAAGGAUUGGCUCAAGCCCUCCGAGUUUUCUGUGGGUUCCAGGAAAUCCCUACUUACAAAUUGGCUGACAUUAGUAAGGAUGCAAUGCAUAAAAUACAUGUAAAGCCAGAGGUAGGCAUGCUGUGCAUAUACACAAUUUUUUAGUACAAGCCUUUGUUAAGUGGAAAAUGAAUUGUUUCUUUUGUCUCAUUGCAGACAUCUCUAAUUCGUCCAUAUGUUGUUUGUGCUGUAUUAAGAGGUUUAACUUUUGAUAAAGCGAGAUACAACAGCUUUAUUGAUCUCCAAGACAAGCUUCACCAAAAUAUUUGUCGGUAAUGUGAUUUGAAUCGCCACUUUAUUUGUUUUAUGCUGCACAUUACCUGUUUCUCAUAUCAGUGAUGUACUUGCUCCUAUCUGUUUACUUAAGCAUUUUAGAGCCAUCUUUAGUCAAAUAUGCUUCCGUAGCAGACUUCUAGUGAAGGAUAAUUUUGUAUUGUAAGUGUCUGUGGAUUGAAUAGCUUGCAAAGCAAGCCGUUGUAGCUGUAUAAAUUAGUUUAGCAGAAUUCAUAUGUUUGGGUAAUUUUCUGUAAAACAAAUAUAUCACCUAAAUUUUGUC